AUUGAACGCUGGCGGAAUGCUUUACACAUGCAAGUCGAACGGCAGCACGGACUUCGGUCUGGUGGCGAGUGGCGAACGGGUGAGUAAUGUGUCGGAACGUGCCCAGUCGUGGGGGAUAACGUAGUGAAAAUUACGCUAAUACCGCAUACGAUCUAUGGAUGAAAGCGGGGGAUCGCAAGACCUCGCGCGAUUGGAGCGGCCGAUAUCAGAUUAGGUAGUUGGGGGGGUAAAGGCCCACCAAGCCAACGAUCUGUAGCUGGUCUGAGAGGACGACCAGCCACAAUGGAACUGAGACACGGUCCAGACUCCUACGGGAGGCAGCAGUGGGGAAUUUUGGACAAUGGGCGAAAGCCUGAGCCAGCCAUUCCGCGUGCAGGAUGAAGGCCCUCGGGUUGUAAACUGCUUUUGUACAGAACGAAAAGGUUUCUACUAAUACUAGGAGCUCAUGACGGUACUGUAAGAAUAAGCACCGGCUAACUACGUGCCAGCCGCCGCCGUAA
RNAcentral lists this ribosomal RNA (500 nucleotides) under uncultured bacterium. RNAcentral describes it as "partial 16S ribosomal RNA". It matches the Rfam family "Bacterial small subunit ribosomal RNA", at positions 30 to 523 of the family's 1533-position model. The record is from RNAcentral.